UACGAGGGGGGCAAGCGUUGUUCGGAUUCAUUGGGCGUAAAGGGUGCGUAGGCGGCGCGGUAAGUCGGGUGUGAAAUCUUGGAGCUUAACUCCGAAACUGCAUUCGAUACUGCCGUGCUUGAGGACUGGAGAGGAGACUGGAAUUUACGGUGUAGCAGUGAAAUGCGUAGAGAUCGUAAGGAAGACCAGUGGCGAAGGCGGGUCUCUGGACAGUUCCUGACACUGAGGCACGAAGGCCAGGGGAGCAAACGGG
Molecule: ribosomal RNA, 253 nt
Filed under: uncultured bacterium
Lineage: Bacteria
Description: partial 16S ribosomal RNA
Rfam family: Bacterial small subunit ribosomal RNA
Source: RNAcentral